Long non-coding RNA from Bubalus bubalis (water buffalo), 3509 nucleotides. RefSeq lists it as uncharacterized. The transcript is spliced from 4 exons. Lineage: Eukaryota; Metazoa; Chordata; Mammalia; Artiodactyla; Bovidae. The record is from RefSeq and is a predicted model, not a curated record.
CAAGAGAUGAAUCUUCAUUUUUUACUCAUAGGCUGGACUACUCGGACUGGCUAUUGAUUUUCUGUCUGAGCCCAAAGACGGACAGAGAUUAGGGGUAUCAUCAUUCAAACUGCCGACUUUAAUUUUCUCUUUUGUUUUCUCUCUAGCCAUACCUGCAGUCCUGGAGUCCUGAUCUUACCUUAUUAAUGUUUUCCAGGAGGAACCCUCUGAUCUCCUGUAGAGAGACGGCUCCUUCGCAAAUUCCUGGUGAGCAAUAAAUCCCAUGACUCCGUCUCUUCUGCCUUUGGAGGGGCUGACGAGAGUACUUCUUAUUCCUAAGCAUGAAAUUUGUUCAACGAUGCGAAGAAGAGGUAUAAGUAAUGCAGAGAAGAGGUGUAAGUAAUGCAAAGAAUGCUGACUGAAAAGGUGAAAUUGCCUGUGGAAUCCCAUUGGAAGUUCACUUUCAACAAGAUAUCAUAAAUGCAUAUUGUGUCUUAUUGAGUCGAGCACAUUCCAUCUUGCAUGAACAUAUCUUUGAAAGUCUAUCCUGUCAGUGACCUCAGUCAUGUCUGCUGGGAUGAGAAUCAGCAGGUUCUAUUGGGGCAGAAUAAUCCUGGAUGCAUCAGAAGGGAUCAGAGAGAUAACAUUGGAGGAGCUGGGUUUUCUGCUUGAGAAAGUGCUGUGGAAAUGUACCUGUCUGCUCAUGACCAUGUCUUUUGUCAAUAAGAGGUAAUCUGUUAAAUGUCUGCUUUUUCACAUGAGCCAAUCUUCUGGAAUUCAAGGAAGAAGUAGAUGGAAAAGUACUCGUCUUGUAGUUUAAGACUAAAUAACUCAGACAUUUGAAAGUGAUCAUUUAUUUUCAUAUUUUUCCUUGAACAAUUCUGAACUCUUUAAAUAAUAAUUCCUUCCUAUAUUUUCCUUCUCAUUUUCAUUUUUAGUCUGCUUCCACCAACUCCCUUGCUACUGUAUAAUCCUGUAACAUUCAUUCUUCUUAUCUCAGGAAAUGUGUGGUCUAGGCAAAGACGGUGAGAUGGAGCUCAAAGCUGGAGAAGGGAAGGAAAGCUGGUGCUUUCUAAUGAGUGUCAGUCAAACCAUGUCCAUCUGUGGCCAGAUAGUGGAGGACGGCAUGUGGGGCUUGGAAAGAAAACAUCUCUAUAUUUUUUGUAAGUUUGUUUUGGCCUUCCCUGGUGGCUCAGUCAGUAAAGAAUCUGCCUGCAAAGCAGGAGACCCAGGUUUGAUCCCUGGUUUGAGAUGACCCCUGGAGAAGGGACUGGUUGCCUAUUCCAGUAUUUUUGUCUGGAGAAUGCUGUGGACAAAGGAGCCUGGUGGGCUACAGUCCAAGAGGUCACAAAGAGUUGGACACAACUGAAUAAGCACACACAGCCCACACGUGUUUUCUCAAUAUAGACUCUUGAAAAGCUAACUUUGAGUGUAUUGGAACUAGGAGAAAUGUGAUUUGCCCACACUCUGUUGAGAAUAGUUACAGGGUAGACUGUCAGAUGAGGGGUAGGUAGCAUCAAGACAGCCAGCCCUGAAAAGGAGGGGAGUCAGGAGAACCAGUGGGGAGGGGGCAGGUGGCAGCGAUGGGAGAAAGGAAGCAGAAAGCCAGGAUGGACUACAACAGACACAGGUGGACAUGCCACCUCCCUUCCUGAGUCUUUGAAUGCAGGCUCUUUCCAAUGGUGGGUACCUCUUCUCCCUCCCCAACUUCCCGGGGUUGCAAAGAGUCAGACAUGACUUAGCAACUAAACCACUACCACCUCCACUCUACUGUCUGCUAAUAUUUAAGAAAGAGACCCCCAAAAGCUGAAAUGCGGCCUUCUGUGCCGUCCCAUCUUUGGGACAUACAGGAAGGUGAUCUCGGAACCCCUGAUGCCAGUCUCUGUGCACAUUUUCUCUUGGGAUGGUCAGAUUUCAAGUGAAGAAGAUUUUGUCCUGUACAGGGUACGAGCCUGGCUGCCAAUAUCCUAUAAACUGAGUGCUUAUACAGAAUCUCUGGUCUUAAUAUUCAAUGGCCAAGUGGAUUUUGACCUGACCAUCUAUUUUCAAUAGGCAUCCCCAUCUCCCACUGUCUGUUCUCCCUUAUCCCAGAGAUCAUUCAUCCUGUCCUGAGAACAAAUCUCUGGGUUUCCACCAAGGUGUGAAAAUACCGAGGCCAAGCUGUGCUAAGUGAGAACAGUGCGGGCAAUUUGACAGUCUGAGUGUUUCUCAUACAGACUUUCAAAUAACCACUCUUGUUUUCAGCUCUGCUGUCAUUCCCAAUGUAUAAUUACCUAUAGUGCUGCCAAUUUCUAAUUAUUAGAGGGGUUCCACAGUGCAAAUCAUGUUCAGCUUUUACCACUGGUGAGUUUAGUAUUCAUUUUAAUUCCUGCAGUGUCACUUAUCUUUCAUCCCUUUGCUUUCUAGCUUUCACAAUUCUCUUGCCGUUUCUUUCUCUCUUGCUCUUUGACCUUGUUGAUGCGUGCCUUAAUUUUUUUCUUUUACUUUCAUUUUAGUGAGGUUGCAGGAGAGUGAGCAGUUAUUCAACCUACUAUGUAUAACCACAAGUCCUCUUGUGAUCUCUAAAAGUAGUUUUCUCAGGAGCAAAAGCACAAGAGCAGGGUUGUCAUGUACAGUUGCUCAGUUUCUAUAGUGCACAACUCUAAGGGAGACUAUUCCUGUCAUAUGUUUUGACAAAUGUCUAGCAAAUCACACUAAAGUGUCUUGUUCUGUAAAAAUAAGUAUAACAUAGCAAUUGUUUAAUAGAUAGAAAUAAUGGGAUUUAGUCUAAUAAUUAAUAAUGAAUUUAUUCUAAUAAAUAAUCGGGAAGGGAUUACUUUUUCUAAAUUCAUGCAAAAGAGACAUGUGCUAAUGACUGUUCUGAGCAAGGGAUUUGAGCUGAGACUUCUGAAUUUAAAGAUGUUUCUGAGUCUUCUGGUUUACGUUGGCCCAGACUGCCUUCCAAAAAUGGGCUGAGCAGAGUCUGAGAGUGCCAAGCAAACAGGGAGUUUCAACAGGUGGCCUCGCAGUAGUCUGAUCAGGAUUUUUAAAACGUCUUCUGUGAGGGAAAUAACCGAAAUUUUCUAGCCAACAUGGUGAAAUAAAAUCUUCCUAAUUGGUAAUAGUUGUAGACAAAUUUGUAUUUAAAAAUAAAAUCAGCAGCAGAUUUCUGGUUGAAAGUCAGUUGGCUUAGAGAUCCUGACAGGACCUCUCCUAACUUCCUACUCAAAUAACUAUAAAGACAGCAAAAAGAGUGAACAUUUGUGCAAAACCCAAACUCACAGCCAACCUAUUGCCAGAAUCCUGGAAGAACGUUUCCCAAUAAUGAGGUCUCUGGGGUGGACCUAGACAUCAAAAUCAAUGCCCUAGGUGUGCAUUGCCAGCUGAAAUGGAACUCAACGGACUGCGUCAAAGAGGGAGGGAGAACUAUGGGGCCUGGCUCAGAGAUCCAGGGUGCAUAUAAAAGCCCAAGUUCAGUUCAGUUCAGUGGCUCAGUCGUGUCUGACUCUUUGUGACCCCACGGACUGCCGUACUCCAAGCCUCCCUGUCCA